Long non-coding RNA from Spinacia oleracea (spinach), 1450 nucleotides. RefSeq lists it as uncharacterized. The record is from RefSeq and is a predicted model, not a curated record. The transcript is spliced from 2 exons. NCBI's taxonomy places the organism in Eukaryota, Viridiplantae, Streptophyta, Magnoliopsida, Caryophyllales, Amaranthaceae.
UUUUCUCUCUCCUCUCUUCCUAUUCCCAUCUCUUUUUUUUGUCGUUGAAUAGAAAGUGGUAAAGGGAAAUGAGGUAGAAGACGAGAUUUGAUGUCGAGUAUUGGGUAUCCUGUAUUACCACUGGACUUUAUCAACUAAACUAUUUUUUUUGUUUGUUAAUUUUACUCUUGUGAUUUAUUCUGGGAAUUUGGAGACGCUAAAUUGGUGAAUGCAAUUGUUGAAAUGGCAAUUUUGUUUUUAUUAUUUAUGGAAUAGAUUGACAAAUUUGCUUUUUUGUUUAAAAGCUUUAAUUUUGUUUUUUUUACGUAGUGACUAGUGAGUAUUGCCACUUCUAGUUUUUUUAAUGUGAAGUGUUAGUUUUUAUUAUCUUUAUUGUGUGGUUGACAGCUGUAUGUUACCAAAAAAGGGCUCAACUUUCAUGUUUUUGGUUAAUUUUUUUAUGACUGUCUUUGAGUUUGCAUUGUCCUUUCCAGCAAGUUUACCUGCGUUUUCAAAAUUUGUUGGUUGUAUACUUUUUUGGCUAAUCAUAAUUAUUAGUUUUUGUGUUGUUGUGAAUAUUGUGAUUAAAGAUUUGGUUGAAGUAGAGUUGAUCAUAGACUGGGUGGUCGUUGGACCCGGAUUUCGGUACAACAAUCGGGUUAAUCUGAAUUAUCAUUGGUUAAGCUGCUAAUUUGAAUGUGCAAGGUAUAUGAAUUACGCAAGUUUUUACUCUAGAUCAUGUAAGUUGAAUGCCCACCAGGUCACCAACAUUUGUUGUCAUGGGAAAAUGAUGAAGCUUUUAGUUACCCCCACUUUUCAUUGAAGAAAAUGACUUAUCUUAAUUGCAAAUUUGCAAGUAGUGUGGACUUUGUUUUAAAUGAGAGUUGAUUGUAUUUUAGGCAGAGUUAGGAAUUGGGGAUGGGAAGCACCUGAUCGCGUGGCACAAACUAGGAUGAUUUUAAAAGGGAUAUAGUAAAAUUAUUUGAUUGUUUCUGUCAAGGAGAUGAAUAAAAUUUGAGUUGCAAAACUUAUAAGUCUGAGUUGUUUGGCCUUAUUUUUUGAGGAUUCUUGUGUUGUAGUAGAAAGGUUUCAGUAGGCUGUAGAAAAAGGGCAUAUAGAGACUUGGGAAAAGCUUGAUGCAAACAUGGAUGAUUGGAUUUUGUUGACAAAAGAGAGAGGAUCUGGGAGAUGGAAAAGAGAGAGCCACCUGAAGGCCGGUCUUGUAGUAAAGAGGAAGAAAGCACACGAGGUCAGUAAAGGGACCGUAUGAGUGGCCGAGUGGGUGAUAUGAGUAUGCUCGUGUUUGUUACAUUGUUUCGACACUUGUGUUUAUGGUGCUUUUAUGAAGACUGAAAGAGCCAUCCGAAAUUCUGAACCUUUUAAUUACCUAAUGAUGGCACCUCUUUACAUAUCAUGUGAAAUAUAUUUGUUUUUACUUCAUAUUCAAUCAUGAUGAUUUCUUGCAUUUUCA